Molecule: transfer RNA, 96 nt
Filed under: Flavobacteriales bacterium
Lineage: Bacteria; Pseudomonadati; Bacteroidota; Flavobacteriia; Flavobacteriales
Description: tRNA-Arg
Rfam family: tRNA
About the family: Transfer RNA (tRNA) molecules are approximately 80 nucleotides in length. Their secondary structure includes four short double-helical elements and three loops (D, anti-codon, and T loops).
Source: RNAcentral
GCGCCAGUAACUCAGCUUGGUGAGGAAUAUUCCUCGAGCAAAUAGAGUGACAGCCUUCUAAGCUGUAAGUCGGGAGUUCGAAUCUUCCCUGGCGCG